UGGUCCUUUACCCAAGGUGAGAAAGUUGAGAAACGCCAAAGGUGCUAUGGCUGCUCCUAGUUCGACUCCUGCAGAUAUCAAGUAUCAAAGUGGGAAACAAAAAGGGAGUGGGCAUGCUUCUGAUAGUGGAAUCUCUGAGAAACUCAAAGUUGGAGGCACGGGCACCUCCGAAUCUCCUUCAAGUGGUAAAAGAAAAACAUAUGGAGAAGUCUCCACCAAGAGACUAUAUGAAUCCUUCAAGGACAAUCAGUAUCCUGACCGUGACGCAAAGGAGAAGUUGGGUAAAGAAUUAGGGCUAACAGCUCACCAGGUCAGUAAAUGGUUUGAAAAUGCUCGUCAUUGCCAUCGUCAUUCUCCUAACUGGAAAAAAAUUAUGAGUCAUAAAGUGUCGGAAGAAUCUCCAUCCAAAU
RNAcentral lists this unclassified non-coding RNA (410 nucleotides) under Hevea brasiliensis (rubber tree). The record is from RNAcentral. Lineage: Eukaryota; Viridiplantae; Streptophyta; Magnoliopsida; Malpighiales; Euphorbiaceae.